This 468-nucleotide long non-coding RNA is filed under the name Felis catus (domestic cat). Its description in RNAcentral is "lncRNA (ENSFCAG00000045004.2)". Lineage: Eukaryota; Metazoa; Chordata; Mammalia; Carnivora; Felidae. The record is from RNAcentral.
AUUAGGAGGGAGCAUGCGCUUGAGAAACUGAAAACAAGGCCCCCACAGCUGGAGUGGAGAGGACAAGACGAUGUUCGGUGUGAGCUAAGACCACAGCGAUGAGGAGGGCCAAAAUCACACCGGGCCACCGGGCCACACGGAGAACGAUGCCCUCUUCUCCAUUGCGUGCAACUGAACCAACAUGGCUGGCAUUCCAGCCUCCCUGCCUGGUGCACACCUGCCAUUGUGUAAGAACCAGCUCAUCAUCCCCUCGGUGAAGCCAGCUCUACCCUCUCCCCCCAUCUCCAGGGUGCUACUCAAAGGCCCGAGUCCCAUUAACUUCUGUACGCACAGCCCAGCAGAGUCUCUGGUGGACACUUAUGGAGGAUACAAAUCUUAAUCUGUGGUCUGCUGUGAUCUCCGAGCCCCCAGACCGGUAAGGAACCAGAACUCAUGUCAAAUAACCCCAAAGUUUUCGUGACGUUUUGU